UGAUCCACCUCAGUCCUCUCCGUGCCAAUCUUUAUGUAUCAACCUCUUUAAUCCUUCUUCACACGCCUCUAACUAUCUAGGAAUAAGGUUCCCAUAAAUGACACAGGCACGUGGAGACAUACCACAGCUGUGGAGCACACCCAUAUCUGCAGCUUGGGAAAUCGGUGCAAGCAAAACUCUGUGCAAGCCAUCUUCAUCCAACGUUCUCCAUGCCACACGAAGUAUGAAGAACACCUGGAAAGGUUCCUUCCAGCCUUCUUUAAGAGGUGCCAAUAUACUCUGGCAGUGGAGGAAGAUGAAAGGGUCUCAGUGCUGAUACCAGGGGAGUGAAGUCACCUUGUUCUUGCUGGUGAAAAUUCAGGACUUUUGCUGAAGUUUCAGUGGAAAUACUGAAGGUUUGUGGUGCUCCAGGUCCUUCACAGAGAAAAACAGCAGCUGCCACUUACAAGUAACCGCUUGCAUUCGAGGAACUUGGACAUCCACCGAGUGACCACAUGGACCCAGUUGCUGCUGCAAUUCUGAGUUCAAAACAACAGCGGAGCACCUGGACUGCUCUUGGUGCUUCCUCCUGGCAGGAGGGAUGGAAAUCUGGCAAAUCCCCCAUGGAUCUGAGACUUGGGACAAAUGGUAUCAGCUCCAGGGGCUGAACUCAAAGCACACCCAGCUGUACCAGUGCUAUGAGCUGUGGGUUUUAGGAGAAAGCUGGUGGUAACAAAAGCUUAUUGUCAUCUCUAGAUGAUCCAUUGGUCUGUGCUUGGUGGUCUCAGGAUAUUUCAACAGUGGCCAGGUUCCUGUGGGAAAAAAUCAUCACCCCAGUAGUGUUCAUCUGGGGCAGUUGUUUGUACUUGCAAAAGAAAAGAGAAGAACUGCUCAGAGCUGUAUAGGUGUCCUUAUCUUAGAGACUGGGGUUUAUUCCUUGUUGUAGGGAUGGCUCCAGCAGGCACAGCAUGGAGAGCUGCAAGCAAUGCAGGAAUUUGCAAUGCUUCUGGAGUGAGACCACCAGAAAGCUUGAAACUGUGGAGUGGUGCCUUCAUCUGAAAUAAGGUUUUCACCCCAAAGACCCCCAAAUGUUUUUUUUUCCUCACCCUGGUGCAAGCUCUGUUCUUUGCUGGAAGGGUCCCAGCUGAAUUCAGAUCAUGAUGGGGAGCGAUGCUCUGGUGUUCCCUGUCUUCUGCUAUGAUUUGUAAAGACUCUGUGACAACCCCUAUGGUACUGGCACACUAAAGAAUCAAUGAAUAUAAUUUUCUAUUAUUACUGUCAGUUACCUUUCCUGAAGAUGUUUUUGGCAUGUUUUUUUUUUGUUUGUUUUUGGUCAAAAUUCCUUGGUAAACCUUCAUUCCUCUAUAACAGAUCACAACUACCAUGCAUUUGUUUCACAAGACCCCAUGGCACUGAGGUUCGCUUCAGUAAUUAUUUACAGUCUCUGUGUUGGAAACUCAGUUUUACCAUGAAAUUUUCAGGCAAAUGAGUCAAAACUGGGUGCCUACAGCCAUACUUAGGCUUUCUGAGAAAUGUGAUCUCAUUCAGAGAAGUGUCAAGAAUUUUUCUGUGUCAAUGGAAAGCAGAGGUGCUCAGCACCUUUGAAAUACUUUCAAACUCAAGUAUCUAAAGAUAGAUUUAAAAGCCUAAUUUGAGAACCUGGUUUUAAAAUGUUGGUCUAGAAAAUUCUGUGGUUUAAAUUUUCUUCCACUUGCAUAUCUACAGAAUGUAAAAGGUCUGGGGCAAUGAACUAUGAAAUACUUGUGAAUGUUACAUCUCAAAAGCAGUUGCAUUUCAGUAGGGAAUUUGUGGUAAAGACAGUAGAGAUUUUUGUUCAAAUUAGGUAAGUGUCAGUUAGAUGAUGGCCCAUUUCCCUUGAGGAGGUUCUAAAUAAUAACAGUAAAUCAUUUUAAAUAUCCUCUAUGUGUAAAAAUCCCAUGAAUUCCUUCAAGACGCAAACUAUGUUUUUACUUUUAUUGCAUAAUAAGUCUAGAGUAAACAAAUAUGUACAAAAAUAUACACAUCCCUUAUGCCAUUUCCUUUAAAACCAGAGAACAUUAAUUUGGUAAGAAGUCAUUUAACCAAGAUUUCUGAUGAACUUUCACUGAAUUAUAGGAAUUUACAUUAUGAAUUUGGUUUACCAUCUUGUCUGUUUUUGUUAGGAAAUACUCAGAAUAGCAGUGGGAUCAUCUGGGACAGCAAACCCCAAAUCUCUCAGCGUCAUCACUCUCCUAAAAAGCAACGGAUUGCACAAAAGGAUGUUUUGCUCACGAUGUUGGUUUUCGAUACAGAACGUGUUUUCUUCUGUAUUUGAGUAAUAAAUUGAAAGAAAUGUAGCAAAUUUA
Anas platyrhynchos (mallard) is the source of this 2324-nucleotide long non-coding RNA. RefSeq lists it as uncharacterized. The record is from RefSeq and is a predicted model, not a curated record. NCBI's taxonomy places the organism in Eukaryota, Metazoa, Chordata, Aves, Anseriformes, Anatidae.